AACGCACAUUGCGCCCCCUGGUAUUCCGGGGGGCAUGCCUGUCCGAGCGUCAUUGCUACCCUCAAGCGCGGCUUGUAUUGGGCUACCGUCCCCCCAGGGGGGACGGGCCUGAAAGGCAGCGGCAGCACUGCGUCUGGUCCUCGAGCGUAUGGGGCUCUGUCACCCGCUCUGCAGGACCGGCCAGCGCUAGCCUAGCAACCUCUUUUUUUCCAGGUUGACCUCGGAUCAGGUAGGGAUACCCGCUGAACUUAA
This 252-nucleotide unclassified non-coding RNA is filed under the name uncultured fungus. RNAcentral's name for it is "partial contains 5.8S ribosomal RNA, internal transcribed spacer 2, and large subunit ribosomal RNA". The stretch from base 1 to 52 matches the Rfam family "5.8S ribosomal RNA", at positions 103 to 154 of the family's 154-position model. Lineage: Eukaryota; Fungi. The record is from RNAcentral.